This 449-nucleotide ribosomal RNA is filed under the name uncultured bacterium. RNAcentral's name for it is "partial 16S ribosomal RNA". It matches the Rfam family "Bacterial small subunit ribosomal RNA", at positions 330 to 794 of the family's 1533-position model. The record is from RNAcentral.
ACCAGACUCCUACGGGAGGCAGCAGUGGGGAAUAUUGCACAAUGGGGGGAACCCUGAUGCAGCGACGCCGCGUGGGCGAGGAAGUAUUUCGGUAUGUAAAGCCCUCUCGGCAGGGAAGAAGAAAUGACGGUACCUGAAUAAGAAGCACCGGCUAAAUACGUGCCAGCAGCCGCGGUAAUACGUAUGGUGCAAGCGUUAUCCGGAUUUACUGGGCGUAAAGGGAGCGCAGGCGGCGCGCCAAGUCUGAUGUGAAACCCCGGGGCUCAACCCCGGGACUGCAUUGGAAACUUCGAGGCUGGAGUGUCGGAGAGGCAGGCGGAAUUCCUAGUGUAGCGGUGAAAUGCGUAGAUAUUAGGAGGAACACCAGUGGCGAAGGCGGCCUGCUGGACGAUGACUGACGCUGAGGCUCGAAAGCGUGGGGAGCAAACAGGAUUAGAUACCCCCGUAGA